AAACCAACAGGGAUUGCCUCAGUAACGGCGAGUGAAGCGGCAAGAGCUCAAAUUUGAAAGCUGGCCCCCUCGGGGUCCGCAUUGUAAUUUGCAGAGGAUGCUUCGGGUGCAGCCCCCGUCUAAGUGCCCUGGAACGGGCCGUCAUAGAGGGUGAGAAUCCCGUCUGGGACGGGGUGUCUGCGUCCGUGUGAAGCUCCUUCGACGAGUCGAGUUGUUUGGGAAUGCAGCUCUAAAUGGGUGGUAAAUUUCAUCUAAAGCUAAAUACUGGCCGGAGACCGAUAGCGCACAAGUAGAGUGAUCGAAAGAUGAAAAGCACUUUGAAAAGAGAGUUAAACAGCACGUGAAAUUGUUGAAAGGGAAGCGUUUGCGACCAGACUCGCCCGCGGGGUUCAGCCGGCACUCGUGCCGGUGUACUUCCCCGUGGGCGGGCCAGCGUCGGUUUGGGCGGCCGGUCAAAGGCCCUCGGAAUGUAUCACCUCUCGGGGUGUCUUAUAGCCGAGGGUGCAAUGCGGCCUGCCCGGACCGAGGAACGCGCUUCGGCUCGGACGCUGGCGUAAUGGUCGUAAAUGAC
This 571-nucleotide ribosomal RNA is filed under the name Aspergillus huiyaniae. RNAcentral describes it as "LSU rRNA". It matches the Rfam family "Eukaryotic large subunit ribosomal RNA", at positions 62 to 648 of the family's 3401-position model. The record is from RNAcentral. Lineage: Eukaryota; Fungi; Ascomycota; Eurotiomycetes; Eurotiales; Aspergillaceae.